UGCUUUGGCAUGAACUGUCAAUUUCUGCUUGGCAGGAAGGAAGGAGGAGCCUGUAUCAGCUGUAUGAAAGGAAGCUGUCAUGUAGAAUUGUUGAGGUUGGAAGAGACCUUGGAGAUCACCAAGUCUGACCACUCGCCUAGAGCUCGCACUGCUGCUAAGCCACUGCCACUAAACCACCUCCCUCGGCACCACAGCAACCUGGUUUUUAAAUACCUCCGGGGAUGGGGACUUGUCCAUGUCCCUAGGCAGCCUGAUCCAGUGCUUGAGAACUCUUUCUGUGAGAAGAGACCUCACUCCAACCACCUUUCAGGGAGCUGUAGAGAGACAGAAGCUCUCCUCUCAGCUCCCUCUUGUCCAGACUAAACAACCCCAGGUCUCUCAGGUGCUCCUCAACAGACCUGUUCUCCAGACCCUUCACCAUCUCUGCUGCCCUGGCUUUAAUUUUCAGAGGAACUCAGGCUUCUGAAUGGAAAUCACUCUUUAGCUGCUUGACUUGGAUUUAUCUCCUUUUAAUUACCUCUUGUUAGCUUUAGCAUUAUAAAAAAAAUGUAAGCACAUAUUCCUGUAAUAUUUCAUCAAGUUCUGACUAAGAGAGAAUCAGAAGUGCUCUGAAAUGCACUAUUACAAACAGGCAUCAACUCUGAGACAUUUUUGUGGUUUGGGAGAAAACUGACUUAAGUACAUACGUCUGGAAAGUCCCCCCCAAGAAGCCACUUCUGUAUUUUCAGGAAAUGAAGCAAAAAAAAAAGAGAGAGAGCCUACUGCAAUGCUUCUAUUGUCCUUUAUUUGUUUAUUUUAGCCCCAGAACAUGCAGAAAUAUGUGCUCUUAGGUGCAGUAUUUAGAGCAGAAGGCAUUGUUUGAAGAUAAAAUGGAUGUUUAUAUA
This is a long non-coding RNA of Pogoniulus pusillus (Red-fronted tinkerbird), 884 nucleotides long. RefSeq lists it as uncharacterized. NCBI's taxonomy places the organism in Eukaryota, Metazoa, Chordata, Aves, Piciformes, Lybiidae. The transcript has 3 exons. The record is from RefSeq and is a predicted model, not a curated record.